Molecule: ribosomal RNA, 753 nt
Filed under: uncultured fungus
Lineage: Eukaryota; Fungi
Description: eukaryotic LSU rRNA
Rfam family: Eukaryotic small subunit ribosomal RNA (bases 1-241)
Source: RNAcentral
UUGCUCUUCAACGAGGAAUGCCUAGUAAGCGCAUGUCAUCAGCAUGCGUUGAUUACGUCCCUGCCCUUUGUACACACCGCCCGUCGCUACUACCGAUUGAAUGGCUCAGUGAGGCCUCCGGACUGGCUCGAAGAGGUUGGCAACGACCACUUCGAGCCGGAAAGCUGGUCAAACUCGGUCAUUUAGAGGAAGUAAAAGUCGUAACAAGGUUUCCGUAGGUGAACCUGCGGAAGGAUCAUUACCUAGAGUUUGUGGACUUCGGUCUGCUACCUCUUACCCAUGUCUUUUGAGUACCUUCGUUUCCUCGGCGGGUCCGCCCGCCGGUUGGACAACAUUCAAACCCUUUGCAGUUGCAAUCAGCGUCUGAAAAAACUUAAUAGUUACAACUUUCAACAACGGAUCUCUUGGUUCUGGCAUCGAUGAAGAACGCAGCGAAAUGCGAUAAGUAGUGUGAAUUGCAGAAUUCAGUGAAUCAUCGAAUCUUUGAACGCACAUUGCGCCCUAUGGUAUUCCGUAGGGCAUGCCUGUUCGAGCGUCAUUCAAACCUUCAAGCUCUGCUUGGUGUUGGGCGUCUGUCCCGCCUCACGGCGCGGACUCGCCUCAAAUCUAUUGGCGGCCGGCACGUUGGCUUCGAGCGCAGCAGAAACGCGAACUCGACCCCGACGGAUCGGCUCCCAGAAGCUACCCCCAUGAAUUUGACCUCGGAUCAGGUAGGGAUACCCGCUGAACUUAAGCAUAUCAAUAAGCGGAGGA